This 331-nucleotide ribosomal RNA is filed under the name uncultured eukaryote. RNAcentral's name for it is "partial 18S ribosomal RNA". It matches the Rfam family "Eukaryotic small subunit ribosomal RNA", at positions 1470 to 1796 of the family's 1831-position model. The record is from RNAcentral.
CCCUUAGAUGUUCUGGGCCGCACGCGCGCUACACUGACGAAGUCAGCGAGCAUGUCCUACGCCGACAGGUGCGGGGAAUCUUGUCAAACUUCGUCGUGAUGGGGAUUGAUUAUUGAAAUUCUUGAUCAUCAACGAGGAAUUCCUAGUAAGCGCAAGUCAGCAGCUUGCGUUGAUUACGUCCCUGCCCUUUGUACACACCGCCCGUCGCUACUACCGAUUGAAUGGUUUAGUGAGAUCUUCGGAUUGGCGCCACUGCGGCUCAGCAAUGGGCUCGGUGGAUGCCGAAAAGUUGAUCAUACUUGAUCAUUUAGAGGAAGUAAAAGUCGUAACA